CGCCACCACAAUGGGCAAAGAUACACGUUGGUGGUACUGUUCUUAUGUCAGUCAGGGACAGAGCAGAUGGCAGUCCUUUGUUCAUCCUAGCUUGAUGCCUGGCUUGGUGGCCAAAGCUGUUUUAUGCCUAGGACACAUAC
Grammomys surdaster is the source of this 140-nucleotide small nucleolar RNA. RefSeq annotates it as small nucleolar RNA SNORA48. The record is from RefSeq and is a predicted model, not a curated record. The transcript has a single exon. NCBI's taxonomy places the organism in Eukaryota, Metazoa, Chordata, Mammalia, Rodentia, Muridae.